GAUGAAGAACGUAGCGAAAUGCGAUAAUUAAUGUGAAUUGCAGAAUUCCGUGAAUCAUCGAGUCUUUGAACGCACAUUGCGCCUCAUGGCAUUCCGUGAGGCAUGCCCAUCUCAGCGUUAGAAAAUAUUCUCAAAUUUUAGUUUUGUGCUAAAAUUUGGAUCAUGUCAAAGAAGCUAUUACUAUUAUUGUGAUCGCUCUUUGGAAAUUGAUAGGUCUUUGAGUUGCUACUCAUAGAACGUGAUGAAUCUUUCUUCGUUCUAUUGUAAUUCACUCUGGUAGUCCUAAAACUUGUAUGCCUGUGGCAUAUCUUGUAAUUUGACCUGAGAUUGGUAGGGAUACCCGCUGAACUUAAGCAUAUCAAUAAGCGGAGGA
Molecule: unclassified non-coding RNA, 373 nt
Filed under: soil metagenome
Description: partial internal transcribed spacer 1
Rfam family: 5.8S ribosomal RNA (bases 1-120)
Source: RNAcentral